AACGCACAUUGCGCCCAUUAGUAUUCUAGUGGGCAUGCCUGUUCGAGCGUCAUUUCAACCCUCAAGUUUAAUAUAGUAACUUGGUGUUAGAGCUAUCUGUUGUACUUUGUGCCACAGGCUCUAAAAAACAUUGGCAAGCUUAUUAUAAACCCGAGCGUAGUAGAUUUUUCUUUUCCGUUUAGGGAUUUAUAGCAAGUGUUAGCCGUUAAAACUUAUUUUUUGCAAGUUGACCUCGGAUCAGGUAGGAAUACCCGCUGAACUUAA
Molecule: unclassified non-coding RNA, 264 nt
Filed under: uncultured fungus
Lineage: Eukaryota; Fungi
Description: partial contains 5.8S ribosomal RNA, internal transcribed spacer 2, and large subunit ribosomal RNA
Source: RNAcentral